Molecule: ribosomal RNA, 496 nt
Filed under: uncultured bacterium
Lineage: Bacteria
Description: partial 16S ribosomal RNA
Rfam family: Bacterial small subunit ribosomal RNA
Source: RNAcentral
GAUGAACGCUGGCGGCGUGCCUAAUACAUGCAAGUCGAGCGAACGGACGAGAAGCUUGCUUCUCUGAUGUUAGCGGCGGACGGGUAAGUAACACGUGGAUAACCUACCUAUAAGACUGGGAUAACUUCGGGAAACCGGAGCUAAUACCGGAUGAUAUUUUGAACCGCAUGGUUCAAAAGUGAAAGACGGUCUUGCUGUCACUUAUAGAUGGAUCCGCGCUGCAUUAGCUAGUUGGUAAGGUAACGGCUUACCAAGGCAACGAUGCAUAGACGGCCUGAGAGGGUGAUCGGCCACACUGGAACUGAGACACGGUCCAGACUCCUACGGGAGGCAGCAGUAGGGAAUCUUCCGCAAUGGGCGAAAGCCUGACGGAGCAACGCCGCGUGAGUGAUGAAGGUCUUCGGAUCGUAAAACUCUGUUAUUAGGGAAGAACAUAUGUGUAAGUAACUGUGCACAUCUUGACGGUACCUAAUCAGAAAGCCACGGCUAACUACGU